AUUGAACGCUGGCGGCAUGCCUUACACAUGCAAGUCGAACGGUAACAGGUCUUCGGAUGCUGACGAGUGGCGAACGGGGGAGUAAUACAUCGGAACGUGCCCGAUCGUGGGGGCUAACGGAGCGAAAGCUUUGCUAAUACCGCAUACGAUCUACGGAUGAAAGCAGGGGACCGCAAGGCCUUGCGCGGACGGAGCGGCAGAUGGCAACUUAGGUAGUGGGUGGGAUAAAAGCUUACCGAGCCGACGAUCUGUAGCUGGUCUGAGAGGACGACCAGCCACACUGGGACUGAGACACGGCCCAGACUCCUACGGGAGGCAGCAGUGAGGAAUUUUGGACAAUGGGCGAAAGCCUGAUCCAGCCAUGCCGCGUGCAGGAUGAAGGCCUUCGGGUUGUAAACUGCUUUUGUACGGAACGAAAAGACUCCUUCUAAUAAAGAGGGUCCAUGACGGUACCGUAAGAAUAAGCACCGGCUAACUACGUGCCAGCCGCCGCUGUAA
This 498-nucleotide ribosomal RNA is filed under the name uncultured bacterium. RNAcentral's name for it is "partial 16S ribosomal RNA". It matches the Rfam family "Bacterial small subunit ribosomal RNA", at positions 30 to 523 of the family's 1533-position model. The record is from RNAcentral.